Molecule: ribosomal RNA, 354 nt
Filed under: uncultured Anoxybacillus sp.
Lineage: Bacteria; Bacillati; Bacillota; Bacilli; Caryophanales; Anoxybacillaceae
Description: bacterial SSU rRNA
Rfam family: Bacterial small subunit ribosomal RNA
Source: RNAcentral
CAGGGUGACAGGUGGUGCAUGGUUGUCGUCAGCUCGUGUCGUGAGAUGUUGGGUUAAGUCCCGCAACGAGCGCAACCCUCGACCUUAGUUGCCAGCAUUCAGUUGGGCACUCUAAGGUGACUGCCGGCUAAAAGUCGGAGGAAGGUGGGGAUGACGUCAAAUCAUCAUGCCCCUUAUGACCUGGGCUACACACGUGCUGCAAUGGGCGGUACAAAGGGUCGCGAACCCGCGAGGGGGAGCCAAUCCCAAAAAGCCGCUCUCAGUUCGGAUUGCAGGCUGCAACUCGCCUGCAUGAAGCCGGAAUCGCUAGUAAUCGCGGAUCAGCAUGCCGCGGUGAAUACGUUCCCGGGCCUU